UCCUCCCCAUUGUCUCUCUCUGGUCUUUAUUAUGAGGUCACUAAUUCCAUCCAUGAGGGCAGUCACUCUCAAAAGGCCUCACCUCCCAAAGGCGCCACCUCCUAAUACAAUCAUCAUGGAUGCCAGGAUUUUAAUAUAUGAAUUUUUAGGAGGAACACAAAAUUCAGUGUAUUGCAACUAAUUUUGCAAAUAUUGGCUGAUUGGCAGUUUCUCCACUUUUAAUGCCAUUCAUUGGCUCAUGCUGCCUAAGGAGUCUUGUGGCUUUUGCUCUUUUUUGCUUUAUCUGCCCAUUUGUCAAUUUUCUGCAAGCCUGGUGGAGACCAAGCAACUCAAUCAGCUCUUCCUCUUCCUAUUGCCCUCAGAGCACCUCCUAGUGGCAAAAAGCAGGCAUUGUAAUCCCAGCAAGGCUUUUGAAAUUUGCUUCUUUCAUCCAUUUAUUUAGUUAUUGCCUGCAAAUGUUUCAACGAUAAUGUAAUGAUCCCUCUGCUGUCCAAAGGUUUGGAGAAUGUUAUGAAAGAACAUUUUUGUUUUUUUCUGUAGCCUCUGCACUGACCUGUAUUUCUGUUCCCAGACCAUGGUUGACCACAGGUAAUUGAAACCCUGGAAGGUGAAACUGCAGAUAAGGAGGACUACAGUGUUCAACUAUUUACAAAUAAUGACAGUGGCCACAAAGAUUACCUUGAAAAGAGACCGUGAGACAGUUUCACACAGACUGUGCCUGGAUUUCCAUGAGUCUCUGCCAACUGCUUUUUAAGAGGUUUGUUGGCAGGAAGUGUCUUGGUUUUCUUGAUGGCAGAGAUAAAGAAAAAAAGAAAAAAAACAAACGUGAAAAAUUCCAAGGAUCAAUUUGCUAUUCAGUUUGGAAAAUAGUUAUUUACAAGAAGCACUGUGGCAUCUACAAGAUCUUGCUACCUCACCCAACUACUCCCUCCCUAAUCCAAAAAAAUGAGAGAAACCCAUUGCAGUCUGUGGUUGGGGUUGAUUAAACAUCCCUUGGGGCCCUAAUGCCCUCGAAAUGAUGUGAAAUCACUGGGUUGUGUAUCAAAAGGGCAGGGUGAGCUCCUGGCUCAUCUGACUUUAAUCUCAAAUGGCUCCACACUGGUAGUUGAGAACAGACAAUUACUUCAUUAACUUUUGGAAAGUCUGAGGCAUUUGUGUUGCUUUCUGGACUGUGCUCUGCUACAGGGAGAGAAAAGACGAGGUCCAACGAGGCCAUUCAUGCCUGCCAAGUUUUCCUUUCUUUCCAAUCCAGGAAACAUACAUUGGUAGUGGGUAAGAUCCAAUAUUUUAUAAUGCUAAGACAGAGAGACUCACCCACUGAACAGCCCAGAGUGAAUAUUCCCCAAGUCUUGGCUGGCAUGUAAGCCCAGAAUCUUCACCCUUACUCUCAAACCUUUUGCCACCUCUAUCCAAGAAUUAUUUUUAAUAAUGUCAUGUUCUCUUCUUUCCCUUAAAUAAAUCCACUCAUAUAUGAAAA
Molecule: long non-coding RNA, 1477 nt
Filed under: Homo sapiens (human)
Lineage: Eukaryota; Metazoa; Chordata; Mammalia; Primates; Hominidae
Description: HSALNT0403529
Source: RNAcentral